RNAcentral lists this ribosomal RNA (540 nucleotides) under uncultured methanogenic archaeon. Its description in RNAcentral is "bacterial SSU rRNA". It matches the Rfam family "Archaeal small subunit ribosomal RNA", at positions 111 to 662 of the family's 1478-position model. The record is from RNAcentral. Lineage: Archaea; Methanobacteriati; Methanobacteriota.
GCCCUAUGGUGGAGGAUAACCCCGGGAAACUGGGGAUAAUACUCCAUAAGUCAGGAGUACUGGAAUGUCUCCUAACUGAAAGUUGCGGCGCCAUAGGAUGAAUCUGCGGCCGAUUAGGUAGUUGUUGGGGUAACGGCCCAACAAGCCCGUAAUCGGUACGGGUUGUGGGAGCAAGAGCCCGGAGAUGGAAUCUGAGACACGAUUCCAGGCCCUACGGGGCGCAGCAUGCUUUUUUUUUUUUACAAUGCAGGAAACUGUGAUAAGGGAACCCCGAGUGCCCGUAAACGCGGGCUGUCCCGGUGUUUAAAACACAUCGGAAGAAAGGGCCGGGCAAGACCGGUGCCAGCCGCCGCGGUAAUACCGGCGGCUCGAGUGGUGACCACUUUUAUUGGGCUUAAAGCGUUCGUAGCUUGAUUUUUAAGUCUCUUGGGAAUCUCACGGCUUACUGUGAGCGUCUAGAGAUACUGGGAUCUAGGGACCGGGGAGAGGUAGAGGUACUUCAGGGGUAGAAGUGAAUUCUGUAUCCUUGAGGGACCACCC